Molecule: long non-coding RNA, 895 nt
Filed under: Brassica napus (rape)
Lineage: Eukaryota; Viridiplantae; Streptophyta; Magnoliopsida; Brassicales; Brassicaceae
Description: long non-coding RNA (BNAP_LNC019985)
Source: RNAcentral
GCUAUUUUUACUAUAAAAACUUAAAAGUUACCGUCCUAGAGAAUUGCCCAUAAUCUUUUGCCCCCGUCAAGACAUUGAUGUACUUUGACUUUUGAGUAUAUGUCAGAUUGUCAGAUAAGGAGUGGGGUGUGUGUGCUGAGACUUGAGAGCAUUUGAGUUGAUUGUUGAUUAGUGAGACCACGGAGUGGAUUUAACUAUUUGGAAGUACUUUAGAUAAGUUUAUAAUUCUGUUUGAUCAAAACCAAUUUAUUGAUUAGUGAUUUAGUGAGAAGUGAUUCAUAUUUUCUCGUAAGUGAGAAUAAAUCAAGAGGAAGUUUUGCUGUAGUGAAUUAGGCUUACUUUAAUAAUAUGUUUUAUAAAAGUAAAUUUUUAUAUUUUGUAGUUUUAAGUAUGAGAUAUUGGAAGUUAAUUUUUGUUCGUUGUAAAAUUAACCAUAAAGUUUUUGUUUGAAUGCGAUGCGGUGAUCAGUUUCUAUUUUCUAAACAAUAGUAAGUUUAAAAAAUAUAUGGUUGUUUGCAUUGAAGUGUAAAUUUUAAAACAGUUGACUGAUGUCGGUUUCCGUCUUGUAGUUUGAUCCCAUGUGGAGGUAUGCCAUCAGGCUUAGGAUAGCAGUUUAUUUCUCUUUUGAAAGCGUUGUAUGAUAUCUAUGUCUUUGUCAAAGUAAAAGCGCGAUCAUGGUGUGGUUGUGAGUGAUAGUUUCCCUGAAAAGUGAAAUAUUUGUAAGCAUUUAGUUAGACAUAAACUUUAUGUUUAGUUGAUUACCUUCAUAUAACCUUGGAAUGAUACUUGUGAUGAUUACGAUUUGGUUUUUCCUGGUAGAUAUGCGAUUUAACUCCCUGAAAUUAGCCGGUUCAUUGUCCCAUAUAGUUAGACGGACCAAUUUGAAUCUACAAAA